RNAcentral lists this ribosomal RNA (1733 nucleotides) under Staphylococcus aureus. Its description in RNAcentral is "partial 23S ribosomal RNA". It matches the Rfam family "Bacterial large subunit ribosomal RNA", at positions 1 to 1732 of the family's 2925-position model. The record is from RNAcentral. Lineage: Bacteria; Bacillati; Bacillota; Bacilli; Caryophanales; Staphylococcaceae.
GAUUAAGUUAUUAAGGGCGCACGGUGGAUGCCUUGGCACUAGAAGCCGAUGAAGGACGUUACUAACGACGAUAUGCUUUGGGGAGCUGUAAGUAAGCUUUGAUCCAGAGAUUUCCGAAUGGGGAAACCCAGCAUGAGUUAUGUCAUGUUAUCGAUAUGUGAAUACAUAGCAUAUCAGAAGGCACACCCGGAGAACUGAAACAUCUUAGUACCCGGAGGAAGAGAAAGAAAAUUCGAUUCCCUUAGUAGCGGCGAGCGAAACGGGAAGAGCCCAAACCAACAAGCUUGCUUGUUGGGGUUGUAGGACACUCUAUACGGAGUUACAAAGGACGACAUUAGACGAAUCAUCUGGAAAGAUGAAUCAAAGAAGGUAAUAAUCCUGUAGUCGAAAAUGUUGUCUCUCUUGAGUGGAUCCUGAGUACGACGGAGCACGUGAAAUUCCGUCGGAAUCUGGGAGGACCAUCUCCUAAGGCUAAAUACUCUCUAGUGACCGAUAGUGAACCAGUACCGUGAGGGAAAGGUGAAAAGCACCCCGGAAGGGGAGUGAAAUAGAACCUGAAACCGUGUGCUUACAAGUAGUCAGAGCCCGUUAAUGGGUGAUGGCGUGCCUUUUGUAGAAUGAACCGGCGAGUUACGAUUUGAUGCAAGGUUAAGCAGUAAAUGUGGAGCCGUAGCGAAAGCGAGUCUGAAUAGGGCGUUUAGUAUUUGGUCGUAGACCCGAAACCAGGUGAUCUACCCUUGGUCAGGUUGAAGUUCAGGUAACACUGAAUGGAGGACCGAACCGACUUACGUUGAAAAGUGAGCGGAUGAACUGAGGGUAGCGGAGAAAUUCCAAUCGAACCUGGAGAUAGCUGGUUCUCUCCGAAAUAGCUUUAGGGCUAGCCUCAAGUGAUGAUUAUUGGAGGUAGAGCACUGUUUGGACGAGGGGCCCCUCUCGGGUUACCGAAUUCAGACAAACUCCGAAUGCCAAUUAAUUUAACUUGGGAGUCAGAACAUGGGUGAUAAGGUCCGUGUUCGAAAGGGAAACAGCCCAGACCACCAGCUAAGGUCCCAAAAUAUAUGUUAAGUGGAAAAGGAUGUGGCGUUGCCCAGACAACUAGGAUGUUGGCUUAGAAGCAGCCAUCAUUUAAAGAGUGCGUAAUAGCUCACUAGUCGAGUGACACUGCGCCGAAAAUGUACCGGGGCUAAACAUAUUACCGAAGCUGUGGAUUGUCCUUUGGACAAUGGUAGGAGAGCGUUCUAAGGGCGUUGAAGCAUGAUCGUAAGGACAUGUGGAGCGCUUAGAAGUGAGAAUGCCGGUGUGAGUAGCGAAAGACGGGUGAGAAUCCCGUCCACCGAUUGACUAAGGUUUCCAGAGGAAGGCUCGUCCGCUCUGGGUUAGUCGGGUCCUAAGCUGAGGCCGACAGGCGUAGGCGAUGGAUAACAGGUUGAUAUUCCUGUACCACCUAUAAUCGUUUUAAUCGAUGGGGGGACGCAGUAGGAUAGGCGAAGCGUGCGAUUGGAUUGCACGUCUAAGCAGUAAGGCUGAGUAUUAGGCAAAUCCGGUACUCGUUAAGGCUGAGCUGUGAUGGGGAGAAGACAUUGAGUCUUCGAGUCGUUGAUUUCACACUGCCGAGAAAAGCCUCUAGAUAGAAAAUAGGUGCCCGUACCGCAAACCGACACAGGUAGUCAAGAUGAGAAUUCUAAGGUGAGCGAGCGAACUCUCGUUAAGGAACUCGGCAAAAUGACCCCGUA